UGUAACGAUUUUUCGCAAUUCUGGCAGUAACUUACUUUAAACCCUGCAACAAUCUACUGUAUAUGAGUAUACAGUACACUACUGGGCAGAGCAAAGUAUUGUGGGUAAUAAACGGAUACUUAUGUACAGUACUGAUGUACUGUAAAUUAAUUUACAGUAGUACAAUCCCCGGGAAAAAAUUGACCAACCACAACGUUGCUCUAUUUGAAUAGACCUACACCCUUAAAAGAGAUUGGUUAAAAAAAUGACUAAUCUCGUUGGUUGAGGCAAUAUUGGUCAAAUUAACUGUGACAUUGGUAACUAUUAAACAAACAAAUUGGUUAUCUUACAAAGAUAUUGGUUAACUUUAAUAACAGAUUGGUUGAAAAAUGACUAGCGAAUUAAUAUCAUUAGUUAAGCAAAUGUUAACUAAGAGAUUGGUAACUGACGCAGGUCUGACGCUAAACGUCAAGUACGUAACUCUGCUUCUCAAUUUUCUGACAAAGCCGCCAUCUUUGUGCUGCAGGAAAGCCGUUUGAGAUAUUGGUGAAAUUCAAACACUUUGUGAGAUGACAGAAUAUUGCUGAAGGAUCCUACAUGGAAGCUGGCUGAUUACACGGAGUGAUUCCUCUGGUGUGGUGUACCUCAGAGAAAUAAACACUGUUGCAAGAGCUGAGAAGAUGGCCAAGAUAUCCUUAUUGCUGGAUGGUAGCUCUGGUCGUAGUGGACCAUAUCUGCAAAUGCUUCUGAACAUUGACAGAAUUUCUAAAGAUGACUGAGAAUAUUACUGAAGGAUCCUACAUGGAAGCUGUCUGAUUACACUGAGUGAUUCCUCUGGUGUGGUGUACCUCAGAGAAAAUAAACACUGUUGCAAGAGCUGAGAAGAUAUCCUUAUUGCUGGAUGGUUGCUCUUUGGUCGUACUUGAGCCCCCUGGACCAUGUCUGCAAAUGAUUGUGUUUGAUAUGAAGUACUAUUUGUACAUAGUUUGUUUGCACAGGCAAAACUCCUUCUUCUUGUGGACUUAGUUUUCGUUUUUGGAAUAUGACAGAACUGUAGGGUCAUGCUUUUCUGGUAGUUUCAUCAAUAAUUUUGGUUUCACUUUUAUGAUUGUAUGUGAAGUAACUUGCUGUAUAUUUGUAUAUAGUUCGCUUGCAGAGACAAGACUCCUUGCUCUUGUGGAUUUGUUCUUGACAUAGGUUUCAGUUUUGGAAUAUGACAGAACUGUAGGGUCAUGCUUUUCUGUAUAUUUGUAUAUAGUUCGUUUGCACAGACAAGACUCCUUGGUCUGGUCUUGUGGACUUGUUCUUGACGUAGGUUUCAGGUUUGGAAUAUGACAGAACUGUAGGGUCAUGCUUUUCUGGUAGUUUCAUCAAUAUUUUUUUUUUUUGUUCUGUGAUUGCAUGUGAAGUACAACUUCCUGUAUGUUUGUAUAUAGUUCGCUUGCACAGAUAAGACUCCUUGCUCUUCUGGAAACUUGACGUAGGUUUUAAUUUUGGAAUCUGAGGAUUAUAUAUGGAUUAUAGAAUAUGAAAAUGGAUUUUUGACAUAGGACUCUAUUUCCUAGUUAACAAGGGUAUUGUAGAUUUGUGGGGACACUAAAUAUGUAGACAUGCUUGUGUGUUGUGCAGUCAUUCAGAUAGCAUAAAGAAAGUGUACAAAUCAUCCACUAGAUGGCACUGUCAAACCACAAAUGGAAGAGCAGAGACGAAUGAUCCUAAGAAUUAAUUCUGAUUGGGAAAAUUGCAAUUUUCAUACAUGAAAAGGGAGAUCUUAUCCAUGGUCCACCAUUUUGUAUUUCCAGAAAUAGACAUUUUUAGCUGAAAAGCUUAAUAUACCGGUAAUAAUUUGGUCAUACUAGUAAACAUUACUUCAUUACCGGUAUUUAGUAAAUAUUAAUGAAAACCAAGAUAGAAUUUGGCAGUAGACGGCACAGUUUCACUGAGCAACAUAGUUGCAAUACCUAUUCUGGCCAUCUUUUUAGAGCUUCUUAUCUACUAAAGAUGUACCGUAGACAUGCUUGUGUGUUCUGCAGUCAUUCAGAUAACAUAAAGAAAUUGUACAAAUCAUCCACUAGAUGGCACUCUAAGACCACAAAUGGAAGAGCAAUGACGAAUGAUGAAUUAGGCCAGGGGUUCCCUUACAUGGCAAGGUCCCCAGUAUACUAGUGGAUCUUAGCUGAGUCCCUCACCCUUAAAGGUGCACUGAGUAAUAUUUUAGUAGGUUCUUUUCAGAAGUUAUACUGCCCAUACACAAAUGUUGCCUUUUUCGUGACUACUUGCCACCCCCAUCACAUUGUAAGAAUUCAUUGUGACUGGGAAAAUGGCACUUUUCAUACAUGAAAAGGGAGAUCUUAUCCAUGGUCCGCCAUUUUUGAAUUUCCAGAAAUAGACAUUUUAGCUGAAAAGCUUAACAUAAUUUGGUCAUAUUAGUAAAUAUUAGUUCAUUAUUUAGUAAAUACUAAUGAAAACCAAGAUAGAAUUUGGCAUUAGACGGCACAGUUUCACUGAGCAGUAUAGUUGCAAUACCUAUUCUGGCCACCAUCCUACACAGUGCACCGUUAAUAUGGAAUAUUACUGCCAAUAGGCCAUCUUUUCCGCCCUUCACAUCUCUAUUGGCACAUUCCUAAAUCGUGGAAACAUACUGUAAGACACAUGGGUCUAAGAGGGUAGGCUAUGCCUUUUCCCCCACACAUAUAGGCGUACACAUUCUACAUGAGGGGUGCUGGUCACAGGGCCAGUUUUUCAAAAUUCCUUCCAUUAAAAGGACUGAACAACAUAUUACACAUUUAUGUCUAUAUUCACAUUCAUUACACAUUCAUUUCUAUAUGCAGCCCGAUGUCUCCGCGGGCAGCCAUAGUUUACUCACUGUAAGGGAAACACUGGUAGUGUGAAUUCGUAGAGGGAUGCGAUUUGACAUUGGUGAAACCCCAACAUCAUACAAAUUAGAUGGUCCCAAAGCUUUCACGAAAAGAUCAAAUUUGGCAAUAGGCAGCACAGUUUCAAUGAGAAUCAUAGUUGCAAUACCUACUCUGGCCACAAACGUACAUGGUGCACCUUUAAAACAACUGUGAAUCCCAGUGUAAUGUAAUGUAAUGCUGCAAGAUGCUAAGUGUGUCUGUCUUUUUUUUUAGGUCACUGCUACUGCAACAGAUGUCGCAAGUCUUUCUCUGCCCAACGCCCCAAGGCUGUUUGCACUUGGUUCAUUCUCAGAAUAAACCCAGAGGGCUCCAAAUGCCAGGCCAAGUCCAUCACCAGCAAGAAGACCGGUAAAAAGGUGCAAAGGAAGAGCAGCAGUGUCAACCCUGUUGUUGCUUCAUUCAUCAGGGAACUUGUUGAUUUUGACUGGCUGAAUUAUUAAUGCUUGACCUUUUGAAGUUCCAAUCACUUGUUUCUUUUAAGUAGUUCAGUCCGAGCAUUGCACCAAAGGCUCGAGGCCCUGUUG
This is a long non-coding RNA of Engraulis encrasicolus (European anchovy), 3421 nucleotides long. RefSeq lists it as uncharacterized. Lineage: Eukaryota; Metazoa; Chordata; Actinopteri; Clupeiformes; Engraulidae. The transcript has 6 exons. The record is from RefSeq and is a predicted model, not a curated record.